GCCUCUGUGGCCAAACGGAUAAGGCAGCCGGUUUCUACCCGGCAGAUUGCGGGUUCGAUUCCUGCCAGGGGCA
RNAcentral lists this transfer RNA (73 nucleotides) under Paeniglutamicibacter gangotriensis. Its description in RNAcentral is "tRNA-Arg". It matches the Rfam family "tRNA". Rfam says of the family: Transfer RNA (tRNA) molecules are approximately 80 nucleotides in length. The record is from RNAcentral. Lineage: Bacteria; Bacillati; Actinomycetota; Actinomycetes; Micrococcales; Micrococcaceae.